Molecule: transfer RNA, 61 nt
Filed under: Tullbergia mixta
Lineage: Eukaryota; Metazoa; Arthropoda; Collembola; Poduromorpha; Tullbergiidae
Description: tRNA-Pro
Source: RNAcentral
CAAAAGGUAGUUUUAAAAUAUUGGCUUUGGGAGCUAAAGAUGGAUUUACCUCUUCUUUUGA